This 497-nucleotide ribosomal RNA is filed under the name uncultured bacterium. RNAcentral describes it as "partial 16S ribosomal RNA". It matches the Rfam family "Bacterial small subunit ribosomal RNA", at positions 28 to 507 of the family's 1533-position model. The record is from RNAcentral.
GAUGAACGCUGGCGGCGUGCCUAAUACAUGCAAGUCGAGCGAACAGACGAGGAGCUUGCUCCUCUGACGUUAGCGGCGGACGGGUGAGUAACACGUGGAUAACCUACCUAUAAGACUGGGAUAACUUCGGGAAACCGGAGCUAAUACCGGAUAAUAUAUUGAACCGCAUGGUUCAAUAGUGAAAGACGGUUUUGCUGUCACUUAUAGAUGGAUCCGCGCCGCAUUAGCUAGUUGGUAAGGUAACGGCUUACCAAGGCAACGAUGCGUAGCCGACCUGAGAGGGUGAUCGGCCACACUGGAACUGGGACACGGUCCAGACUCCUACGGGAGGCAGCAGUAGGGAAUCUUCCGCCAUGGGCGCAAGCCUGACGGAGCAACGCCGCGUGAGUGAUGAAGGUCUUCGGAUCGUAAAACUCUGUUAUUAGGGAAGAACAAAUGUGUAAGUAACUAUGCACGUCUUGACGGUACCUAAUCAGAAAGCCACGGCUAACUACGUG